CCUACGGGAGACAGCAGUCGAGAAUCAUUCACAAUGGGGGAAACCCUGAUGGUGCGACGCCGCGUGGGGGAAUGAAGGUCUUCGGAUUGUAAACCCCUGUCAUGUGGGAGCAAAUUAAAAAGAUAGUACCACAAGAGGAAGAGACGGCAAACUCUGUGCCAGCAGCCGCGGUAAUACAGAGGUCUCAAGCGUUGUUCGGAAUCACUGGGCGUAAAGGGUGCGUAGGCUGUUUCGUAAGUCGUGUGUGAAAGGCGCGGGCUCAACCCGCGGACGGCACAUGAUACUGCGAGACUAGAGUAAUGGAGGGGGAACCGGAAUUCUCGGUGUAGCAGUGAAAUGCGUAGAUAUCGAGAGGAACACUCGUGGCGAAGGCGGGUUCCUGGACAUUAACUGACGCUGAGGCACGAAGGCCAGGGGAGCGAAAGGGAUUAGAUACCCGGGUAGUC
RNAcentral lists this ribosomal RNA (446 nucleotides) under uncultured bacterium. RNAcentral describes it as "partial 16S ribosomal RNA". It matches the Rfam family "Bacterial small subunit ribosomal RNA", at positions 338 to 795 of the family's 1533-position model. The record is from RNAcentral.